GUGAAUCAUCAAAUUUUUGAACGCAAAUUGCACUCUCUUCGGAGAGUAUGCCUGUUUGAGGGUCAGCCUAAAAAAAAUCAACAUAGUUGCUUUUACCCGGUAACAUUGUUCGGAAAUUGGGUAAUCUUAACCCUUUGGGUUUAGGGGGCUUAAAAUUUUCUUUCGGAUUCAAAGAAGGUUUUUAGAAUUUUAUUUUUUUAUACUUUUAGGUUAUCAUUUUUUUUUA
This 226-nucleotide unclassified non-coding RNA is filed under the name Glomus sp. RNAcentral's name for it is "partial contains 5.8S ribosomal RNA and internal transcribed spacer 2". The stretch from base 1 to 65 matches the Rfam family "5.8S ribosomal RNA", at positions 84 to 154 of the family's 154-position model. The record is from RNAcentral. Lineage: Eukaryota; Fungi; Glomeromycota; Glomeromycetes; Glomerales; Glomeraceae.